CAGCACAACCCAAACAAUUGCUCAUAAUUAAACUGAUUGGAGGAGCAGACACUGGCAGGAAAUACACUGCUGGCAGCGGUCCGAUAGCACUUCAUUGUACUGAAUUUAGAACAAUUACAUCAGUUCCUUUCAUUUUGCAGAAAAAGAGGAGGGGGGGCUGCUUUUUUAUCUUCUGCUCUCUACCAGCAAAAUCGAUGUUUAUCAAAUCUUGUGAAGAUGAUUUGGACAUUUUUAAUGAACUAUGAUGAUCACCGUCACAAGUGCUUUGUACUGGUGCCUUCAAGAUCUGCAUCAAGAAAUACCAGCUCACAAAAGGCCCUGAUAUCACUCAGCCUGAAACACUAACUUCUUUACACCAUUCUGCAAUGCCUUUGUGAGUAAAGAUUCUCUCAAUGUUGUAUCAGUUUGAAUCAGC
RNAcentral lists this long non-coding RNA (415 nucleotides) under Gallus gallus (chicken). RNAcentral describes it as "lncRNA (ENSGALG00010002531.1)". Lineage: Eukaryota; Metazoa; Chordata; Aves; Galliformes; Phasianidae. The record is from RNAcentral.